AGGUGUGGCUCAGUCUGGUAGAGCGCCUGGUUUGGGACCAGGAUGUCGCAGGUUCGAAUCCUGUCACCU
RNAcentral lists this transfer RNA (69 nucleotides) under bovine gut metagenome. It matches the Rfam family "tRNA". From Rfam's summary of the family: Transfer RNA (tRNA) molecules are approximately 80 nucleotides in length. Their secondary structure includes four short double-helical elements and three loops (D, anti-codon, and T loops). The record is from RNAcentral.